AAGCUCGUAGUUGAAUUUCGGGAUCAAAUUGUCGGUCGUGCCUCGGUACGUACUGGCGUUAUUGGUUCCUCCCUUCUGAAGAACCGCGAUGUCAUUAAUUUGGUGUCGCGGGGAAUCAGGACUGUUACUUUGAAAAAAUUAGAGUGUUUAAAGCAGGCUCGCGCUUGAAUACAUUAGCAUGGAAUAAUGAAAUAGGACGUUUGAUUCUAUUUUGUUGGUUUCUAGGAUCGACGUAAUGAUUAAUAGGGAUAGUUGGGGGCAUUAGUAUUCAAUUGUCAGAGGUGAAAUUCUUGGAUUUAUUGAAGACUAACUACUGCGAAAGCAUUUGCCAAGGAUGUUUUCAUUAAUCAAGAACGAAAGUUAGGGGAUCGAAGACGAUCAGAUACCGUCGUAGUCUUAACCAUAAACUAUGCCGACUAGGGAUCGGAUGAUGUUAAUUUUUUAAUGACUCAUUCGGCGCCUUACGGGAAACCAAAGUGUUUGGGUUCCGGGGGGAGUAUGGUCGCAAGGCUGAAACUUAAAGGAAUUGACGGAAGGGCACCACCAGGGGUGGAGCCUGCGGCUUAAUUUGACUCAACACGGGGAAACUCACCAGGUCCAGACAUAGUAAGGAUUGACAGAUUGAGAGCUCUUUCUUGAUUCUAUGGGUG
Molecule: ribosomal RNA, 650 nt
Filed under: uncultured Glomus
Lineage: Eukaryota; Fungi; Glomeromycota; Glomeromycetes; Glomerales; Glomeraceae
Description: SSU rRNA
Rfam family: Eukaryotic small subunit ribosomal RNA
Source: RNAcentral